AUGACCAUACCUAUCAUAAAGCACGGGAUCCCGUCCGCUCUCCCCUAGUUAACAUGAUAAGGGGCAGAUUAGUAGUUGGGUCGGUGACGACCAGCGAACACCGGCUGUUGUAUGUC
This 116-nucleotide ribosomal RNA is filed under the name Purpureocillium takamizusanense. Lineage: Eukaryota; Fungi; Ascomycota; Sordariomycetes; Hypocreales; Ophiocordycipitaceae. The record is from RNAcentral.